Molecule: ribosomal RNA, 253 nt
Filed under: uncultured bacterium
Lineage: Bacteria
Description: partial 16S ribosomal RNA
Rfam family: Bacterial small subunit ribosomal RNA
Source: RNAcentral
UACGUAGGGGGCAAGCGUUGUCCGGAAUCAUUGGGCGUAAAGCGCGUGUAGGCGGCUCGGUAAGUCUGUUGUGAAAGUCCAGGGCUCAACCCUGGGAUGCCGGUGGAUACUGUCGAGCUCGAGUCCGGAAGAGGCGAGUGGAAUUCCCGGUGUAGUGGUGAUAUGCGUAGAUAUCGGGAGGAACACCAGUGGCGAAGGCGGCUCUCUGGGCCUUUCCUGACGCUGAGACGCGAAAGCGUGGGGAGCGAACCGG